CCAACACUGGGACUGAGAACUGCCCAGACUCCUACGGGAGGCUGCAGUCGAGAAUCAUUCGCAAUGGGCGAAAGCCUGACGAUGCGACGCCGUGUGAGCGAAGAAGGCCUUAGGGUCGUAAAGCUCUUUCGCUUGGGAACAAGAGAAGUUGGCUAAUAACCAGCUAAUUUGAGGGUACCAGG
RNAcentral lists this ribosomal RNA (182 nucleotides) under uncultured Chlamydiales bacterium. RNAcentral describes it as "partial 16S ribosomal RNA". It matches the Rfam family "Bacterial small subunit ribosomal RNA", at positions 307 to 482 of the family's 1533-position model. The record is from RNAcentral. Lineage: Bacteria; Pseudomonadati; Chlamydiota; Chlamydiia; Chlamydiales.